Molecule: ribosomal RNA, 1083 nt
Filed under: Triticum aestivum (bread wheat)
Lineage: Eukaryota; Viridiplantae; Streptophyta; Magnoliopsida; Poales; Poaceae
Description: partial small subunit ribosomal RNA
Source: RNAcentral
AUGGAGGGGGAGCUCACGAAGAAGAUGGAGAGGAAACUCAGGAAGAAGCAGAAGAAGCUAUUGAAGAAGAUGGGGAAAGAGAAGCCCCAAUCCCUGGUAAAGGAAAUCAUCUCCGUGGAGAGGGAGCGUAGAGACUUGCAUGCCUCACUUACUCCCACGUUCUCUGUCUGGAAAGAAAUCGAUUCUCAAACAACGUGGACAAUCGCCACAAAGGACCCUGCUACUGCUACUACCAGGGACGAUGAGAAUCAACUUGCGGAGUACUUCAACUUGAUGCUCCAAGAUAUGGAGGACCUGGGCCAUCGGAUGCUUUCUAUGCUGUAUUUUCUCAACAAAUCCAAUGACCCCAUCUGCUCCUACAAGGCCACCGAGCUGUGCAAUACAGCAGCCAAAUUAAAUAUGCAGAUAUCCAAGGGAUUCAGCAUGUACCAUGAGCCGGAGCAGGAGCCGGAGCCGGGGCAGAUCAACUUGUCGACUCUUUUCAGCAAAUAUUAUCGAUUUCCCAAUAAUUACGAGAACACCUUGGCCAAGUUAGACAUGAGGGAGGAGGAGACCAAGUGUGAGGAUGUUAAGGUGAAGAAGACCAAGGAAGAGGAGGACAAGGAGAAUGACCCAUCCACAAUCAAGUAUUUCAAGAAAAGUCUGGAGCUUGAUCAAUACUUUUUCGCCAAGGAUCGGAAAUACUGGGAAAAUGGUUGGGCCAGCAAGAUUGGCCGCUGCGGUGGAUUCGCAAAUACAACCAUACUAAGCCCUAUGCAGUUUACACACUACACACCUGGCAGCAUCCCAUCCCUUGCUGCCGUCACUGGUACUACUUUGCAGAUCUAUUCAAUUAAGAUAAAGAAUCUGAAAGGCUUGAAUUGGCCACUCAAAGUGUAUGGCAAGGUUGCUGCUCGAGACACUGUGGACCGCAACCGCAACAUUCUGUUCUCUCGGCCAAAGUUUGAUUAUCAAGAACUAAAUGGAGAAAAUGAUUCCUUAUGCUUGAUUGGUCCGUCUCGUGCGAUUGUUAGUUUUGACCAUGUCGACUUUGAAGUUGAACUCAAAGUCCAAGCGGGGCAAUUUAAUGGAGAAAAGGUCUAA